RNAcentral lists this ribosomal RNA (497 nucleotides) under uncultured bacterium. RNAcentral describes it as "partial 16S ribosomal RNA". It matches the Rfam family "Bacterial small subunit ribosomal RNA", at positions 28 to 507 of the family's 1533-position model. The record is from RNAcentral.
GAUGAACGCUGGCGGCGUGCCUAAUACAUGCAAGUCGAGCGAACGGACGAGAAGCUUGCUUCUCUGAUGUUAGCGGCGGACGGGUGAGUAACACGUGGAUAACCUACCUAUAAGACUGGGAUAACUUCGGGAAACCGUAGCUAAUACCGGAUAAUAUUUUGAACCGCAUGGUUCAAAAGUGAAAGACGGUCUUGCUGUCACUUAUAGAUGGAUCCGCGCUGCAUUAGCUAGUUGGUAAGGUAACGGCUUACCAAGGCAACGAUGCAUAGCCGACCUGAGAGGGUGAUCGGCCACACUGGAACUGAGCCACGGUCCAGACUCCUACGGGAGGCAGCAGUAGGGAAUCUUCCGCAAAGGGCGAAAGCCUGACGGAGCAACGCCGCGUGAGUGAUGAAGGUCUUCGGAUCGUAAAACUCUGUUAUUAGGGAAGAACAUAUGUGUAAGUAACUGUGCACAUCUUGACGGUACCUAAUCAGAAAGCCACGGCUAACUACGUG